RNAcentral lists this ribosomal RNA (468 nucleotides) under uncultured bacterium. RNAcentral describes it as "partial 16S ribosomal RNA". It matches the Rfam family "Bacterial small subunit ribosomal RNA", at positions 28 to 507 of the family's 1533-position model. The record is from RNAcentral.
GACGAACGCUGGCGGCGUGCUUAACACAUGCAAGUCGAACGGAAAGGCCCUGCUUUUGUGGGGUGCUCGAGUGGCGAACGGGUGAGUAACACGUGAGUAACCUGCCCUUGACUUUGGGAUAACUUCAGGAAACUGGGGCUAAUACCGGAUAGGAGCUCCUGCUGCAUGGUGGGGGUUGGAAAGUUUCGGCGGUUGGGGAUGGACUCGCGGCUUAUCAGCUUGUUGGUGGGGUAGUGGCUUACCAAGGCUUUGACGGGUAGCCGGCCUGAGAGGGUGACCGGCCACAAUGGGACUGAGAUACGGCCCAGGCUCCUACGGGAGGCAGCAGUGGGGAAUAUUGCACAAUGGGCGGAAGCCUGAUGCAGCAACGCCGCGUGCGGGAUGAUGGCCUUCGGGUUGUAAACCGCUUUCGCCUGUGACGAAGCGUGAGUGACGGUAAUGGGUAAAGAAGCACCGGCUAACUACGUG